Small nuclear RNA from Choloepus hoffmanni (Hoffmann's two-fingered sloth), 62 nucleotides. Its record names the gene U7. It matches the Rfam family "U7 small nuclear RNA". From Rfam's summary of the family: Animal histone pre-mRNAs are spliced by a different mechanism than nuclear pre-mRNAs and self-splicing introns. This processing involves the U7 snRNP, which contains only one RNA species: U7. NCBI's taxonomy places the organism in Eukaryota, Metazoa, Chordata, Mammalia, Pilosa, Megalonychidae. The record is from Ensembl.
GAGUGUUACAGCUCUUUUAGAAUUUGUGUAGCAGGUUUUCUGGCUUUAGCUGGAAAACCCUU